RNAcentral lists this non-coding RNA (241 nucleotides) under Priestia koreensis. RNAcentral's name for it is "Bacillus koreensis T-box sequence". It matches the Rfam family "T-box leader". Rfam says of the family: Uncharged tRNA acts as the effector for transcription antitermination of genes in the T-box leader family. T-boxes are found upstream of many aminoacyl-tRNA synthetase genes and some amino acid biosynthetic genes usually in Gram-positive bacteria. The record is from RNAcentral. Lineage: Bacteria; Bacillati; Bacillota; Bacilli; Caryophanales; Bacillaceae.
CAAAAUUCGUUGAUGAGAACUAGUACGCUACAAGCUGUUCCACAGAGAGCCGGUGUUUUGCUGAGAACCGGUGCUCAGGGUGUAGCCGAAUAUCCUCUCUGAGAAGCCAGGCUGAACAGUAAGUAAGCCUGGACGGUAGUCUACCGUUAAAAAGAACGCGUAUGAUUGUACGUUGCUGAGUGCUAUUGAUGAACGGUCAAUAGAAUCCAGGGUGGUACCGCGGGUUAGACCCGUCCCUUGU